This 647-nucleotide long non-coding RNA is filed under the name Triticum aestivum (bread wheat). RNAcentral's name for it is "long non-coding RNA (TAES_LNC006780)". The record is from RNAcentral. Lineage: Eukaryota; Viridiplantae; Streptophyta; Magnoliopsida; Poales; Poaceae.
UUGCAUCUGAAGCGCAGAGAGAAUAUACUAUCUGCCUCCCUUCUGAAUCUUGGUGGCCCAUUGCUGGAUGGAUGGAGAUCAUGAUCCUGGAAAAAGGAUUAAAAUACCUGUAUAGCUUCUCAGUCACCAAUGCGGUCAAAAACAGGCUUGGGGACAAAGCUUGGUUAGAAUUCUGUUGGUUCAAAAGAGUACUCCUACCUAGAAGUGUGUGGGCACCUCACUGGCUGGACGGCUGCCUGCCUGCUUGCUGCCUGGCCCUAGCAAAGAAGAACUAAUUAUUUUAGACCAUGUGUAUUGUAUAAUGAUCCGCAGUAAAAAGUUAGAAUUAUUUCAAAGAAAUUUUAUUAACAACGAGUUAAUUAUAAUUAUGUGUUGUUGUGAAUUCAGGUGUUACAGGAAUUUCAAGGGAAACAGCAAAACAAAGCUCCACAGGAAAAUGAGAAAAUUACCUUGGGGGAAUAAAUGUAGGUGUCAUACAUGAGAAAGAAAGCUAGGAGAGUGAUGAGGUAUGGCAGUUGGGAGGAUGUGUACAGCUGGGAGUCUCAACUGAAAGCCUGAAACAAAGAUGGCCUUGCUUGCAUCAAUGGCAGGGGUGUGGCCCUAGCUGCUCACAGGGCAGGGCAGCACUGCACAAAGACAAAGAAGCA